CCGAGGCGCGGGCCGUGUGCCGCUGGGUGGCCCUGCGAGCCGCCGCUCUCCGCCUCUCUAGGCUCAGCUUCCAUCACCGCGUGGCGGAGCCCGUGUCCGGGCCAGCUGCCCAAUUUCAAGGGUCUGAAGAAGUCCUACUUCUCCGCUUCAGAAGAAUAGUCGCACUGUACACCCACCACAGACAAGUGGAAUGAAACCAGAGGGAAGCAAAGGCACAGAAGGGCGAGGCUGUCUAGAUGGAGAGAGGAAAUCCACCGUGCGGGGACUGUCACUAAGUUUCAUUAAAACCGAAAUGAAGUCAUACAUUCAACCACGUAGACUGUUUUUUUUUCCUUUCCUACUGUUUUUGCCCAUCAGGCAGGCGUGGCCUCUUGUUGGCCAGAAACUCAAAGGUGGAAACUGACACUUAUUUAAC
This 415-nucleotide long non-coding RNA is filed under the name Homo sapiens (human). RNAcentral's name for it is "HSALNT0184365". The record is from RNAcentral. Lineage: Eukaryota; Metazoa; Chordata; Mammalia; Primates; Hominidae.